Non-coding RNA from Nylanderia fulva, 355 nucleotides. Lineage: Eukaryota; Metazoa; Arthropoda; Insecta; Hymenoptera; Formicidae. The record is from RefSeq and is a predicted model, not a curated record.
ACAUGUUUCUGCGCGGGAGAGAAGCUGAGACUACCGAGCACGACGAGUCGUCGAUAGCUUUGCAAGAAGCUGUCCGUCUAUUAUACCACUGACGAGGUAUUGUUACGUCAGUGCUGGUAUCAUAGUAAAGAAAAACAGUGCCGUAUCUAUUGUAUUUUUACGGGAUCAAAUCUGUCUGUAAUAUUAAUAGCGUUUGCUUAUCCAUCUCUGCUGCACUGAACUUCUAACGCUACGGACAGGGUACAGAUUUUCGUCUUACAGAUUCAGAAAGCAAGCGAUAUAAUAACAACAAGGAAUGGUUCAAACUAUAUAUAUAAUUAUAUAAAAAGAGUUUUAUUACAGAUUAGGCUCCAAC